Molecule: ribosomal RNA, 691 nt
Filed under: uncultured bacterium
Lineage: Bacteria
Description: bacterial SSU rRNA
Rfam family: Bacterial small subunit ribosomal RNA
Source: RNAcentral
CAGUCGACGAAAUCUUUCGGGAUUUAGCGGCGGACGGGUGAGUAACGCGUGAGAAUCUAGCUUCAGGUCUGGGACAACCACUGGAAACGGUGGCUAAUACCGGAUGUGCCGAGAGGUGAAAGGUUAACUGCCUGAAGAUGAGCUCGCGUCUGAUUAGCUAGUAGGUAGUGUAAUGGACUACCUAGGCGACGAUCAGUAGCUGGUCUGAGAGGACGAUCAGCCACACUGGGACUGAGACACGGCCCAGACUCCUACGGGAGGCAGCAGUGGGGAAUUUUCCGCAAUGGGCGAAAGCCUGACGGAGCAAUACCGCGUGAGGGAGGAAGGCUCUUGGGUCGUAAACCUCUUUUCUCAGGGAAGAACACAAUGACGGUGCCUGAGGAAUAAGCAUCGGCUAACUCCGUGCCAGCAGCCGCGGUAAUACGGAGGAUGCAAGCGUUAUCCGGAAUGAUUGGGCGUAAAGCGUCCGCAGGUGGCAAUGUAAGUCUGCUGUUAAAGAGUGAGGCUCAACCUCAUAAGAGCAGUGGAAACUACAUAGCNNNAGUACGUUCGGGGCAGAGGGAAUUCCUGGUGUAGCGGUGAAAUGCGUAGAGAUCAGGAAGAACACCGGUGGCGAAGGCGCUCUGCUAGGCCGUAACUGACACUGAGGGACGAAAGCUAGGGGAGCGAAUGGGAUUAGAUACCCUGGUAG